AGCAGCCGCGGUAAUUCCAGCUCCAAUAGCGUAUAUUAAAGUUGUUGCAGUUAAAAAGCUCGUAGUUGAACUUCGGGAUCAAUGAGUUGGUCGUGCCCUUGGUAUGAACUGGCUUUAUUGGUUCUCACCUUCUAAUGAACCAUAAUGUCAUUCAUUUGAUGUUUUGGGGAAUUAGGACUGUUACCUUGAAAAAUUAGAGUGUUUAAAGCAGGCUCACGCUUGAAUACAUUAGCAUGGAAUAAUGAAAUAGGACAUCGCAUUCUAUUUUGUUGGUUUCUAGGAUCGAUGUAAUGAUUAAUAGGGAUAGUUGGGGGCAUUAGUAUUCAAUUGUCAGAGGUGAAAUUCUUGGAUUUAUUGAAGACUAACUACUGCGAAAGCAUUUGCCAAGGAU
This 391-nucleotide ribosomal RNA is filed under the name uncultured Glomeromycotina. Its description in RNAcentral is "SSU rRNA". It matches the Rfam family "Eukaryotic small subunit ribosomal RNA", at positions 569 to 965 of the family's 1831-position model. The record is from RNAcentral. Lineage: Eukaryota; Fungi; Glomeromycota.